AGAGUUUGAUCAUGGCUCAGAGUGAACGCUGGCGGCGUGCUUAACACAUGCAAGUCGAGCGAAUUUUGGCAGCACACCGCCAGAGUUAGCGGCAGACGGGUGAGUAAUACUUGGGUAAUCUACCCUAGAGUGGGAAACAACCUGCCGAAAGGCGGGCUAAUGUCCCAUAAGACCACAGGAUGGCAUCAUCCAGGGGUCAAACUCCGCAAGGGGCGCUUUUGGAGGAACCCGAGUCCUAUCAUGGUAGUUGGUGAGGUAACGGCUCACCAAGCCUUUGACGGGUAGCCGGCCUGAAAGGGUGAUCGGCCACACUGGCACUGAGACACGGGCCAGACUCCUACGGGAGGCAGCAGUGGGGAAUUUUGGACAAUGGGGGCAACCCUGAUCCAGCGACGCCGCGUGGAGGACGAAGGUCUUCGGAUUGUAAACUCCUUUUAGAGGGGAUGAAUGCCGCCGUGAAUAACGGUGGGUGACAGUACUCUCUGAAUAAGCCACGGCUAACUACGUGCCAGCAGCCGCGGUAAUACGUAGGUGGCAAGCGUUACUCGGAAUCACUAGGCGUAAAGCGCAGGUAGGUGGUUUGGUAAGUCUUUUGUGAAAGCUCCUGGCUCAACUGGGAGAGGUCAAAGGAAACUACCAGGCUAGAGUGUGGUAGGGGAUACUGGAAUUCCUGGUGUAGCGGUGAAAUGCGUAGAUAUCAGGAGGAAUACCUAUGGCGAAAGCAGGUAUCUGGGCCAUCACUGACACUGAGCUGCGAAAGCUAGGGGAGCAAACAGGAUUAGAUACCCUAGUAGUCC
This 797-nucleotide ribosomal RNA is filed under the name uncultured bacterium. RNAcentral describes it as "bacterial SSU rRNA". It matches the Rfam family "Bacterial small subunit ribosomal RNA", at positions 8 to 796 of the family's 1533-position model. The record is from RNAcentral.